CCUACGGGAGGCAGCAGUGGGGAAUAUUGGACAAUGGGGGGAACCCUGAUCCAGCGACGCCGCGUGAGUGAAGAAGGAUUUCGGUAUGUAAAGCUCUAUCAGCAGGGAAGAAAAUGACGGUACCUGACUAAGAAGCCCCGGCUAACUACGUGCCAGCAGCCGCGGUAAUACGUAGGGGGCAAGCGUUAUCCGGAUUUACUGGGUGUAAAGGGAGGGUAGACGGUGCAGCAAGUCUGUUGUGAAAGGUCGGGGCUCAACCCCGGGACUGCAUUGGAAACUGUGGAACUGGAGUACAGGAGAGGUAAGCGGAAUUCCUAGUGUAGCGGUGAAAUGCGUAGAUAUUAGGAGGAACACCAGUGGCGAAGGCAGCUUACUGGAGUGUAACUGACGUUGAGGCUCGAAAGCGUGGGGAGCGAACAGGAUUAGAUACCCCAGUAGUC
RNAcentral lists this ribosomal RNA (440 nucleotides) under uncultured bacterium. RNAcentral's name for it is "partial 16S ribosomal RNA". It matches the Rfam family "Bacterial small subunit ribosomal RNA", at positions 338 to 795 of the family's 1533-position model. The record is from RNAcentral.